Molecule: RNA transcript, 1437 nt
Organism: Cimex lectularius (bed bug)
Lineage: Eukaryota; Metazoa; Arthropoda; Insecta; Hemiptera; Cimicidae
Exons: 7
Source: RefSeq, a predicted model, not a curated record
UAAUUCUGUUGGCUGAGCACAACGGAUAACUCAACUCGGUUCAACACGCUUUUUCAAUUCAAACUCGCAAUCAUACUGGCCUAUUUUGAAAGUGAACCCUUUGAAAUAUUCUAGUGUAUUUUUUAUUUUGUCGUUUCAAAAGCAUCCGCAAUAAUAGAAGAAGGCUGAGUCAAACAUUAGAUCAGAAGGAUGUGUUCCAAGUAAAAAGGUUUGAGAUGUGUUUCUACUACAAAAGUUCAGGAUGUAUCUGUACCAGAGUUCAUAGAUAGAUUAUAUAGGAGCAAGCCUCUUUACGACCUGUGCACCGCGACCAGUGUUGGUCUAUUGCAUACCUCUACCAGAGGUGUAUGUCUCAAACAGGAGUUUAAGUUUCCUCAAAUACAGAUUUUGGGUGUAUCUCAACAAAACAAGUUUGGGGUGUAUCUCAACUAGAGGAGUGGGAUAAAUGUCAGCUACAAAGGUUUCGGAUAUAUCUCAACUACUAAGGUUUGUGAUGAGCUUUAACUAGAGGUUUUGAAUGUAUCUCAACCAGAGAAUUGGUGUAGGUCUCAACCAGAGAUAGUGAGUUAAUCAGGCAAUGUUAGAAAAAGACGGAGAAUCAAACCUUUGAUCAAGAAGGCCUCCUUCUAACCACAGAACACCAUAUAGACUAAGAUUUGCACGAGUCUGCCAAUCGUGGAUUGUAGAGGAAUGGAAAAGUCCUAUUCACCGAUGAGACGAGACCCUUAACAGUCUAGAUGAUCUAUCGGCAGUUCGUGAGUUUUCCAAAGUGAAUAGCAGUACAGCACUUCCGAUAUACACGUGUACCUCGAACUUUAAAAUUGCUCAUACGACAAAAUCGACCGGAUUCAUCGCCAUGUCGCCCAGAAAAGCAAUGCGCCUGAAGUUAAGGAGAGUUGGACUUUGCUAAAAUGUCUUGCAAUUGUAGUCCAGGACCGACAAGGGCUGAUAUAAAUAGAUGGGCUAGAAAUCCAAAAUCAGUUCUGGAGUGCGAAACGGGUUUUGAUCAGUUCCAAGAGUUUUUACUCAGUAGGCAGUUUGAUCAGGAACUAUCUACUGUUGAGUUUUAUAAAAAAGCAGCUGACACUCGUAAAAUACUUGUUCAAAACAAUGAUCUCCCAAGAAAUACUGUUAUACAAAAUAUCGAGUAUUUACUGACAUUGGCUGAUGAUGUAAACUUCGAUGGAGCACAGAUGAGAGUCCUCUAUCGAAUGAGAAAAUCUCGAAGCAAUAGAGAAAUUAUCAAAAUUUUAGAUGAAGCUCGUCAAGCCGCUAGUGAUCUUCUGACAGACGUACAUGAAGCUUUCAUCGAUUCUCUUGAAACUAAAAUGACCAGAUCAUGCUAAAGUACAGACAAUUUUUGUAGAAUAUACAAUUAAUAUGUCCAUAAUCUGUCUUGUAAACAAUUAAAAUUAAAUUUAUCACAAGUUUGAAUUA